Molecule: ribosomal RNA, 859 nt
Filed under: uncultured bacterium
Lineage: Bacteria
Description: bacterial SSU rRNA
Rfam family: Bacterial small subunit ribosomal RNA
Source: RNAcentral
UACGGAGGGUGCAAGCGUUACUCGGAAUCACUGGGCGUAAAGGACGCGUAGGCUGGUUGUCAAGUCUGAUGUGAAAUCCUACAGCUCAACUGUAGAACUGCAUUGGAAACUGGCAACCUAGAGUAUGGGAGGGGGAGAUGGAAUUAGUGGUGUAGGGGUAAAAUCCGUAGAUAUCACUAGGAAUACCUAAAGCGAAGGCGAUCUCCUGGAACAUUACUGACGCUAAGGCGUGAAAGCGUGGGGAGCAAACGGGAUUAGAUACCCCGGUAGUCCACGCCCUAAACGAUGAACACUAGUCGUCGGGAUGCUUGUCAUCUCGGUGAUGCACUUAACAGAUUAAGUGUUCCGCCUGGGGAGUACGGUCGCAAGAUUAAAACUCAAAGGAAUAGACGGGGACCCGCACAAGUGGUGGAGCAUGUGGUUUAAUUCGACGAUACGCGAAGAACCUUACCUGGCCUUGACAUUGAUUGAAUCCACCAGAGAUGGAGGAGUGCCCCUCGGGGAACAUGAAAACAGGUGCUGCACGGCUGUCGUCAGCUCGUGUCGUGAGAUGUUGGGUUAAGUCCCGCAACGAGCGCAACCCUCGUCCUUAGUUGCCAGCAGGUUAAGCUGGGCACUCUAAGGAGACUGCCUUCGUAAGGAGGAGGAAGGUGAGGACGACGUCAAGUCAUCAUGGCCCUUACGGCCAGGGCUACACACGUGCUACAAUGGGGCGUACAGAGAGUUGCGAUAUCGCGAGGUGGAGCCAAUCUCAUAAAGCGUCUCUCAGUUCGGAUUGGAGUCUGCAACUCGACUCCAUGAAGCUGGAAUCACUAGUAAUCGUAGAUCAGCAAUGCUACGGUGAAUACGUUCCCGGGUC